This 1146-nucleotide ribosomal RNA is filed under the name Triticum aestivum (bread wheat). Its description in RNAcentral is "partial small subunit ribosomal RNA". Lineage: Eukaryota; Viridiplantae; Streptophyta; Magnoliopsida; Poales; Poaceae. The record is from RNAcentral.
AUGGAGGGCAGAGAUGAUGUCAAAUCAGAAGAGAUCCUCAUGCCUGGGUUCCGGUUCCAUCCUACCGAUGAAGAGCUGGUUAGUUUCUACCUCAAGAAGAAGAUCCAGCAGAAGCCCAUCUCCAUUGAACUCAUCAGGCAGCUGGACAUCUACAAGUUUGAUCCAUGGGACCUCCCAAAGCUUGCGAACACUGGCGGUGAGACGGAGUGGUACUUCUACUGCCCAAGGGACCGGAAAUAUCGAAACAGCGCGAGGCCAAACCGAGUUACAGCAGCUGGGUUCUGGAAGGCCACUGGAACAGAUAGGCCGAUUUACUCCUCCAAGGGCACCAGGUGUGUAGGCCUGAAGAAGUCACUGGUAUUCUACAAAGGCAGAGCAGCAAGAGGAAUCAAAACCGACUGGAUGAUGCAUGAGUUCAGGCUUCCUUCGCUUGCCGAUCCAUCACUUCCCAAGAGACCAAUCGACAAGACCAUCCCACUCAACGACUCUUGGACCAUAUGUAGGAUCUUCAAGAAGACCAGCUCGAUGGCGGCGCAACGGACGCUGACUCACACUUGGGAGCCUCCAUUGCCUGGGGCAACUAAGCAAGAUCUCUUCUCCGCCAUGCAAGCUUCUCAUUUUGCUUCAGAGAGCUCCUCCAGCUCAUUGCAAGUUGCAGCCACGGCACCAUCAAGUCAGUUCGACAGGAAAUAUGGCUUCCAAGGACAGCAGCAGUUUCAGAAACCCAACAACACACAGGAGGGUGGCUCUUCAUGCAAGGUCAUAAGCUUCAACUGCAGUCCAUCUCCACAAAUUCUGAAAGGCCCCAUCAUCUUGCCAUUCCAAACACAGCCGCCAUCACAGAAGCCCGUGCCACACACUGCACCACCAUUCUUCAUCGGGACGCAGUUUGGGCAGCCUGAGCAGAUCACUGGUUUUGUGACUGGUUCUUCUGAAGAUGUAAAUGCCGAAAUGAGCUGCAGGGACCAAGAGUCAUCCACAAUGAAGCAUGGUGAUACUUCCCGCAUGAAGAAUGAGUGGGAGGCUCCGGGGAGACUCAACUUCCCAUUCGAUUUAGGAGCAGACUCUUCAGAUGACUGGGAGUGCAACAUACCUUGGGAAUCCUUUCUUAGCCCAACAGUCCCUGCUGAGAUCACACAGUAUUAG